Molecule: long non-coding RNA, 1518 nt
Filed under: Equus caballus (horse)
Lineage: Eukaryota; Metazoa; Chordata; Mammalia; Perissodactyla; Equidae
Description: lncRNA (ENSECAG00000048474.1)
Source: RNAcentral
AAACUCUGGGGGGAUGCACCCACAGGUACCUGCCCCUGGCCAUCUCCCAUGCUCUGGCCUCUAUAUGGCCUCCCCGAGACAUUCCUGGGCCUACUUAGUCCACACUGAGGCCUCUGAGCCGGAAGCCCUUUUGGUUAGAAAGUCGCCUUGUCACCUCCUCCUGGGCCCCUCCUGCUCUGCCUGACCCCUGUCCAGUGAAGUCAUCUCCAAGGGCCCCAGCUGUCACAGAGGGGCCAGAGAAGCCCCCUCGGACGUUUCGUGGCUGACAGGCAUUUUGUGCCGAUUGAGAGGGCAAACGAGCUGUUCUCGAACCUCUGACUCCGACCAGGCUUUGAGCUGUUGUGACGUUUUUCUUUGGUUUCAGCUUUUAGAAAAGAGACAAAAUAGCACUCAUUUAACAAACCCUCUCCACAGGUCAUCUGGGCCCGGCCCUCUGCUGACCUGGCCCGUGUCCUUCCUCGGGAACCCUUUCCCUCCACCCCACUGGUGGAGACACAGAUGUAUGCAGGGGUCAGGCAGCCAGGGUGACAGGGAACGCAGGAGCUGAGGGCACCAGAGGAGGCCCUGACCCAGUUUGGGUCUGCCUUGUGGAGGACGUGCUGGAGCAGAAAGGGCAAAGCUGGGAAUUUACAGGAAGCCGGGGGCACCCUCCAUGGAAUGGCAGCUUUGAAUGGAACCAUGGCCUGGGGUGUUCAAGAUGGAGUGAGGGGGCCUGCUGAGAGGUGACAGUGGGCAGGGGGUUCAGGUCUCAGGGCUGAGAGUGGCAGGCUAAGAGCUCAUCAUUAUGCCCAAGGCCCCUAGGAAGCCCCUGCAGGGCCUGCAGCAGUGUGGACUGUCCAGGAAGAAGGCCUUUCUGGGGGUGUGGAGGGCCUAGGCCGAGGAGGUGAGGUCCCCGGUUUGCGUCCAGGCCACAGCCUCCUUCAGCAGCAACCACAGCCAGCCAAGGCCCAGACUGAGGUCCUGCAGACCAGCCCACAGCCCUGGGCUGGGCAGAGGGCGCAGCCACUGUGGCCGCCACUGGGCAGGGGGUUCGGGAGGCAGGUCUGACUCAUCAGUGUCCCCAAGGCCCAGCCCAGGGCUGGGGCAGAGCAGGCGCCAGGCACAUCGCGCUGUGGAGUGAAAGAAGCUUUACAAACGCUUCCAGCAGACCAGCUUGAGAUAUUUCUUCCUGCCCGCACUUCCUCAGACCUGGGAAUAAGGAAGUGCGAGGCUCAGCGAACCCCGAAGACGCAGGCACAGCUGUAAGGGGUUUGCAAAAGUCCUUCCCGGGCCUUGUUGUCUCAGUGUCCCCAGCGAUUCGUGACACUGGGAGAUAAUGACAGAUGUCAUCCUCUUGACUGUUGCCUGGCUCACGCCAUACCAUCUCUGACCUUGACUAUGCCAAUGGCUACCUCAAUGGCCUCUUGACUUUAAAUAAUGCCUUUGGGUACAUGUGGCUAAGUAGCCACCACUGCGCUCCACCCGAGAUGAAGACAGAGCCGUGCCGCCUGACCUACGGCCUGCCAGAGCCAGGAGCCG